RNAcentral lists this long non-coding RNA (273 nucleotides) under Medicago truncatula (barrel medic). RNAcentral describes it as "long non-coding RNA (MTRU_LNC002953)". The record is from RNAcentral. Lineage: Eukaryota; Viridiplantae; Streptophyta; Magnoliopsida; Fabales; Fabaceae.
GUGUUCUCUCAAUUCUUUCGAGUUUUCAAGGAGACUUGCAAACCUUUACACUAAGUAUAUGACAAUUCAAUGCCAACAUUCUCAGCAAACUACCAUGAAUUCAACUUAAUUCCAACAAAAUAAAACACAACAUAAUAAUAUAUCCAACUAAUGUACCCUUUUCUACACUUCCACUGAUCCACUGCCUCCUAACCACAAUCAACGUGUCAAAUGACAUGGAGCAGAAAAUCUGUGAAGGCCACUACUAUAUCCUCUGACUUAAGAGCUACAAAG